This 614-nucleotide ribosomal RNA is filed under the name Escherichia coli. RNAcentral describes it as "partial 23S ribosomal RNA". It matches the Rfam family "Bacterial large subunit ribosomal RNA", at positions 418 to 1032 of the family's 2925-position model. The record is from RNAcentral. Lineage: Bacteria; Pseudomonadati; Pseudomonadota; Gammaproteobacteria; Enterobacterales; Enterobacteriaceae.
CGGGACACGUGGUAUCCUGUCUGAAUAUGGGGGGACCAUCCUCCAAGGCUAAAUACUCCUGACUGACCGAUAGUGAACCAGUACCGUGAGGGAAAGGCGAAAAGAACCCCGGCGAGGGGAGUGAAAAAGAACCUGAAACCGUGUACGUACAAGCAGUGGGAGCACGCUUCGGCGUGUGACUGCGUACCUUUUGUAUAAUGGGUCAGCGACUUAUAUUCUGUAGCAAGGUUAACCGAAUAGGGGAGCCGAAGGGAAACCGAGUCUUAACUGGGCGUUAAGUUGCAGGGUAUAGACCCGAAACCCGGUGAUCUAGCCAUGGGCAGGUUGAAGGUUGGGUAACACUAACUGGAGGACCGAACCGACUAAUGUUGAAAAAUUAGCGGAUGACUUGUGGCUGGGGGUGAAAGGCCAAUCAAACCGGGAGAUAGCUGGUUCUCCCCGAAAGCUAUUUAGGUAGCGCCUCGUGAAUUCAUCUCCGGGGGUAGAGCACUGUUUCGGCAAGGGGGUCAUCCCGACUUACCAACCCGAUGCAAACUGCGAAUACCGGAGAAUGUUAUCACGGGAGACACACGGCGGGUGCUAACGUCCGUCGUGAAGAGGGAAACAACCCAGAC